RNAcentral lists this transfer RNA (68 nucleotides) under Betaproteobacteria bacterium. RNAcentral's name for it is "tRNA-Lys". It matches the Rfam family "tRNA". Rfam says of the family: Transfer RNA (tRNA) molecules are approximately 80 nucleotides in length. Their secondary structure includes four short double-helical elements and three loops (D, anti-codon, and T loops). Further hydrogen bonds mediate the characteristic L-shaped molecular structure. tRNAs have two regions of fundamental functional importance: the anti-codon, which is responsible for specific mRNA codon recognition, and the 3' end, to which the tRNAs corresponding amino acid is attached (by aminoacyl-tRNA synthetases). tRNAs cope with the degeneracy of the genetic code in two manners: having more than one tRNA (with a specific anti-codon) for a particular amino acid; and 'wobble' base-pairing, i.e. permitting non-standard base-pairing at the 3rd anti-codon position. The record is from RNAcentral. Lineage: Bacteria; Pseudomonadati; Pseudomonadota; Betaproteobacteria.
GUCGUUAGCUCAGUCGGUAGAGCAGCGGACUUUUAAUCCGUUGGUCGCUGGUUCGAAUCCAGCACGGC